RNAcentral lists this microRNA (22 nucleotides) under Helianthus annuus (common sunflower). Its description in RNAcentral is "han-miR3630-5p". The record is from miRBase by way of RNAcentral. Lineage: Eukaryota; Viridiplantae; Streptophyta; Magnoliopsida; Asterales; Asteraceae.
GCAAGUGAUGAUAGACCAGACA